CAGUAGCCGCGGUAUACAGAGGGUGCGAGCGUUAAUCGGAUUUACUGGGCGUAAAGCGUGCGUAGGCGGCUUCUUAAGUCGGAUGUGAAAUCCCUGAGCUUAACUUAGGAAUUGCAUUCGAUACUGGGAAGCUAGAGUAUGGGAGAGGAUGGUAGAAUUCCAGGUGUAGCGGUGAAAUGCGUAGAGAUCUGGAGGAAUACCGAUGGCGAAGGCAGCCAUCUGGCCUAAUACUGACGCUGAGGUACGAAAGCAUGGGGAGCAAACAGGAUUAGAUACCCCAGUAGUCCCUGUCUCUUAUACA
This 301-nucleotide ribosomal RNA is filed under the name uncultured bacterium. RNAcentral's name for it is "partial 16S ribosomal RNA". It matches the Rfam family "Bacterial small subunit ribosomal RNA", at positions 509 to 808 of the family's 1533-position model. The record is from RNAcentral.